This 254-nucleotide ribosomal RNA is filed under the name uncultured bacterium. RNAcentral's name for it is "partial 16S ribosomal RNA". It matches the Rfam family "Bacterial small subunit ribosomal RNA", at positions 524 to 776 of the family's 1533-position model. The record is from RNAcentral.
CACGUAGGGUGCGAGCGUUGUCCGGAAUUAUUGGGCGUAAAGAGCUCGUAGGCGGUGUGUCGCGUCGGCCGUGAAAACUUGCAGCUUAACUGUGGGCGUGCGGUCGAUACGGGCAUCACUGGAGUUCGGCAGGGGAGACUGGAAUUCCUGGUGUAGCGGUGAAAUGCGCAGAUAUCAGGAGGAACACCGGUGGCGAAGGCGGUUCUCUGGGCCGAUACUGACGCUGAGGAGCGAAAGCGUGGGGAGCGAACAGG